This 500-nucleotide ribosomal RNA is filed under the name uncultured bacterium. RNAcentral's name for it is "bacterial SSU rRNA". It matches the Rfam family "Bacterial small subunit ribosomal RNA", at positions 374 to 865 of the family's 1533-position model. The record is from RNAcentral.
GGGGCAACCCUGAUCCAGCGACGCCGCGUGUGUGAAGAAGGCCUUCGGGUUGUAAAGCACUUUCGGCAGGGACAAACAAGACGGAGCUAAUAUCUCCGUCUCUGAUGGUACCUGAAGAAGAAGCACCGGCUAACUCUGUGCCAGCAGCCGCGGUAAUACAGAGGGUGCAAGCGUUAAUCGGAAUUACUGGGCGUAAAGCGAGUGUAGGUGGUUUGCUAAGUCAGGUGUGAAAUCCCAGGGCUCAACCCUGGAACUGCAUUUGAUACUGGCAGGCUAGAGUGUAGAAGAGGAUAGUGGAAUUCCCGGUGUAGCGGUGAAAUGCGUAGAUAUCGGGAGGAACAUCAGUGGCGAAGGCGGCUAUCUGGUCUAACACUGACACUGAGACUCGAAAGCGUGGGGAGCGAACAGGAUUAGAUACCCUGGUAGUCCACGCCGUAAACGGUGGGUACUAGGUGUGGGUUUCCUUCCUUGGGAUCCGUGCCGUAGCUAACGCAUUAAGU